UACGGAGGAUGCGAGCGUUAUCCGGAUUUAUUGGGUUUAAAGGGUGCGUAGGCGGGCUUUUAAGUCAGCGAUAAAAAUUCGGGGCUCAACCCCGUCCGGCCGUUGAAACUGGGGGUCUUGAGUGGGCGAGAAGAAGGCGGAAUGCGUGGUGUAGCGGUGAAAUGCAUAGAUAUCACGCAGAACCCCGAUUGCGAAGGCAGCCUUCCGGCGCCCUACUGACGCUGAGGCACGAAAGUGCGGGGAUCGAACAGG
RNAcentral lists this ribosomal RNA (252 nucleotides) under uncultured bacterium. RNAcentral describes it as "partial 16S ribosomal RNA". It matches the Rfam family "Bacterial small subunit ribosomal RNA", at positions 524 to 776 of the family's 1533-position model. The record is from RNAcentral.